RNAcentral lists this ribosomal RNA (537 nucleotides) under Candida tropicalis. RNAcentral's name for it is "partial large subunit ribosomal RNA". It matches the Rfam family "Eukaryotic large subunit ribosomal RNA", at positions 356 to 915 of the family's 3401-position model. The record is from RNAcentral. Lineage: Eukaryota; Fungi; Ascomycota; Pichiomycetes; Serinales; Debaryomycetaceae.
AUGGAAAGAUGAAAAGAACUUUGAAAAGAGAGUGAAAAAGUACGUGAAAUUGUUGAAAGGGAAGGGCUUGAGAUCAGACUUGGUAUUUUGUAUGUUACUUCUUCGGGGGUGGCCUCUACAGUUUAUCGGGCCAGCAUCAGUUUGGGCGGUAGGAGAAUUGCGUUGGAAUGUGGCACGGCUUCGGUUGUGUGUUAUAGCCUUCGUCGAUACUGCCAGCCUAGACUGAGGACUGCGGUUUAUACCUAGGAUGUUGGCAUAAUGAUCUUAAGUCGCCCGUCUUGAAACACGGACCAAGGAGUCUAACGUCUAUGCGAGUGUUUGGGUGUAAAACCCGUACGCGUAAUGAAAGUGAACGUAGGUGGGGGCCCGUAUGGGUGCACCAUCGACCGAUCCUGAUGUCUUCGGAUGGAUUUGAGUAAGAGCAUAGCUGUUGGGACCCGAAAGAUGGUGAACUAUGCCUGAAUAGGGUGAAGCCAGAGGAAACUCUGGUGGAGGCUCGUAGCGGUUCUGACGUGCAAAUCGAUCGUCGAAUUUGGG